GUCCGUUAAUUCCCUGGUGAAAUCCCCGGCUCACCCGACAGCGUGCAGGGGACACUGCCAAACUUGAGACCGGGAGAGGUCAAAGGUAUUCCCGGUGGACCGGUAAAAUGGGUAUAAUCUCCGGAGGACCACCAGUGGCGAAGGCGUCUCACUAGACCGUUACUGACGUGAGGCACGAAAGCCAGGGGAGCAAACCGA
This 198-nucleotide ribosomal RNA is filed under the name uncultured archaeon. RNAcentral describes it as "partial 16S ribosomal RNA". It matches the Rfam family "Bacterial small subunit ribosomal RNA", at positions 578 to 776 of the family's 1533-position model. The record is from RNAcentral.